UUUUACUCUGAGGUAGUGUCAGGAAAUAAAUUAAGGGAGACACGGCCAUCUGACUGAUAGAUGGCUGGCACAAACAGGGCAACACAGGAGUGCUUUCACUUAAAGCUAAACUUUGUCUCAAGCACUUACAUGUGUCUGCAACAGGUUAGUAAAACAUCCCCAACCCUUGAUAAUUACCAAAGCUGAGUAACUUUCAAGGGGCACAGUGACAGGCUUCCUUUGGACAAACUUCUAUCUGCCCAUGGGGACCCCAGUAUGUGUUCUGGGGACCAUCCCUGAAGAAACCUCCUGAAGAGUCCCACUACCUCAACCUUUUUCAUACAUUAGUAAUACAAUGACAUGUCAUUAAAAAACUUGCUAAGCAAGCAACUUUUAAAGGUCAAGCAAGAGGUUUCCUUAUGCUCAUCAAUUAACUGUUUUUUUCAGCAUGUGCAUGCCUUGAGGCCCUGACAGACACAUUCCUGAAGGUUAAAAAACCCCAAAGAGAGUCACCACUUACCCCUGAGGAGUUUCUGCGCCAACAUUAGGAGCACACAAGAAUUUCAGAAAAAUGGAUAAUGUGUUAAGAAGUUAGAAGAAACUUCUCAAGGAGACUAGAAAAGUCAAGUAUUUCAGAUAACUGCCAGCUGACAUGCCACAGCUAAUUUUCCUCUAAAGCAAUUAAGAGCUAUUCAUGUUGACAACUUUCAGAACUCAUCUGGAAACCUACACUGGUACAAAAAGCCCUCAAGAAUUUAAGUCGGAUAGGUAAUUUUAUUAGUUUGUGUUAAUUCUUCCAUACAAUCCAAAUGUAUAGAAUUUUCUGUAGUAUAGAAUCCCCCAUAAGAAGAUUCCAGGUGUAGAGAUAGUCAGCCUUAGACACACGGGACCCCAGUAACAAGCGAGUGCUGAGAGAAUGCGGAAUUGGUCAACGCUCUGCUGCUGUGGCAAAUCAUGGUGUCAGAUGCCAUCAGGUGGUCAAGGGACAUCUACAUAGAACACAUCACUGGAUAUCAGCAAUACCAGGAGGGAUGAGCUGGAGUGCCAAUGAGAAGCACAGUCAGGAAAGUAACAAAUACUUUCCUCAUGGACUGUAUUUUCUAAAUGGACAACUAACCUAAUUCUCAAAUUACUGAGGGACAAUCUCUCCUCAUUGAUAUAUUUUACUUUCCAAAAUCAAAUCUCUAUACAACUUUUCAUGAGUGAUGUACCUGAGUAUUCAGAUUCUAAUAUCUAAACUGUAAAAUCUAGUCACCUAAAUUUGGGUUAUUGCUGAUUAUUUACUCUAUGUAUCAUAUGACUUUUAAAAACUAAACUUUAUAUUUGUGGAUAAUCUAAGCACUAUACCCAGAUGUACAGACACUUUUCCCAACCUACAUAUUUUUAUUAGCGUUAAUAAAAAUGGUAAAUC
Long non-coding RNA from Caretta caretta (loggerhead turtle), 1390 nucleotides. RefSeq lists it as uncharacterized. NCBI's taxonomy places the organism in Eukaryota, Metazoa, Chordata, Testudines, Cheloniidae. The record is from RefSeq and is a predicted model, not a curated record.